This 74-nucleotide non-coding RNA is filed under the name Desulfovibrio sp. Lineage: Bacteria; Pseudomonadati; Thermodesulfobacteriota; Desulfovibrionia; Desulfovibrionales; Desulfovibrionaceae. The record is from RNAcentral.
CAGCGAAACAGCCCGCCCGCAAGGCGGGCUGUCGCGGCGGGACGGCAACCCGCCGCCUGAUGAGCAAGCCAUAA